GCCGGGCGUGGUGGCUCACGCCUGUAAUCCCAGCAUUUUGGGAGGCUGAGGUGGGUGGAUCACCUGAGGUCAGGAGUUCAAGACCAUCCUGGCCAACAUGGUGAAACCUCGUCUCUACUGAAAAUACAAAGAUUAGCUGGGCAUGGUGGCAAGCACCUGUAAUCUCAGCUACUCGGGAGGCUGAAGCAGGGAGAAUUGCUUGAACCUGGGAGAUGGAGGUUGCAGUGAGCCAAGAUUGCACCACUGUACUCCAGCCUGACCGACAGAGUGAGACUCCAUCUCA
This is an unclassified non-coding RNA of Cercocebus atys (sooty mangabey), 283 nucleotides long. It matches the Rfam family "Metazoan signal recognition particle RNA". Rfam says of the family: The signal recognition particle (SRP) is a universally conserved ribonucleoprotein. It is involved in the co-translational targeting of proteins to membranes. The record is from Ensembl. Lineage: Eukaryota; Metazoa; Chordata; Mammalia; Primates; Cercopithecidae.